Molecule: long non-coding RNA, 701 nt
Organism: Mastomys coucha (southern multimammate mouse)
Lineage: Eukaryota; Metazoa; Chordata; Mammalia; Rodentia; Muridae
Exons: 3
Source: RefSeq, a predicted model, not a curated record
CCGGAGCCUUGACAACCAGUUUCCCUCCUUGUACCUUGGUCUUGUGGCGUUGUUCGGCAUAUUGGCAGCCAGACCGGAUUUCAACUCUGCAACCUUGGAUGCCCUGAAACUCAGGCGAACCGUGAACUCACAGAGAUCCUCCUGCCUCUGCAUCAAGGUGUAUCUAAAGGUCGGAAGAUUGACUGGGAGACACAGGAAGAUGGAAAAGCAGAAAAGAACAUGGAAGCCAUGUGGGACAUGGUGACAAAAUUAGCUCCACAGUAGACCACCAGGGCCCAGAACAUCUUUAAAGCAGCGAAAGAAAACCAGAAAUAUUGCCUCUAACAGUAGCGGGAAGACUUAUUGCCAACUUGCUCACUGAAAUAAUGGACGCCUGGAGACACAGAAUAACACACUCUACGUCCUGGAAGAAACAACUGCCAAUACUGAAUUCUUACAACAAAUACAUCCUUCACAAGCAAAGGCCAAAGGGGUUUACUGCUCCUGGCUGGGACAGAGCAGCAGUGGGAAGCAGACCAGCUCUCCUGCCAAGAGUUAGAAGAGCCAGGGCAAUAGAGAAAUGGUUCCUUUGGAGGCGUGAGGUCUACUGAGGGAAGAGAUGAAGUAAGUCUUGAGAGGUGAGCUGACUUGGGCAGCCAGCAGGAUUGAGGAGAGGAUGUACCAAUGGCUAUGCUGGAAACUGGAGAAAGGAUGGCGUCAGG